Long non-coding RNA from Atta colombica, 1400 nucleotides. RefSeq lists it as uncharacterized. The transcript has 3 exons. The record is from RefSeq and is a predicted model, not a curated record. Lineage: Eukaryota; Metazoa; Arthropoda; Insecta; Hymenoptera; Formicidae.
CAUGCAUGUGUGUGUGUGUGUGUGUGUGUAUGUGUGUAUGUGCAUGAUCGUGCGACAGUGAGAGAGCUGUGAGAGUUCCCGAGGAAGGAACAAAGAGAGUGGAGAAAAGAAAGACUGAUCGCGCGACGCGGCGCGGCGCGGCGGCUUAGAAGGCAGCCAAGGGUGGCGCAGCCAAAGCGCGGGAGAACGGCGCCGAGACUGCCGAGAGAAGUGGUAGCGGACGCUUACGUGAACGGAACCUGGGGUGUUAAGGAGAAUAGCCCCGCGUCAACACGGGCGACGCGGCGCGCGGCGGCCGGACACGAACGCGUCGACCGCGUCGACGGGCCUGUCCCCCGAGGAAGGGACCGUCGCGCGCAACGCGAUCAAUUUUUGUUGCGGCGCGCGGGCGGCUUAGACUGUAGUAGAACGAACGCGAGACGAAAUGACGAGGCAACCGAAGUACCGAUAACCGGCCGGAUAAUGUUGUCGCAGAGCAAGUUUUACGCUCUCUUCAUCCACUACACGUUCGUGUAGCGUGACACGGGGCGGGUCCUUGCCGCUGCGGUGAAGAAUAGAGGAGAAGGAGAAGGAGGUAAAAGAGAAGGAGAAAUAGGAGGAGAAGGAAGAAGCAAAAGAAGAAGAAGAAGAAGAACACGAGGGAAAGAUUCUAUCACAGUGAGAGAGAAUAGAAAGGAAAGUAAAGCGAGAGAUAGAAGAGAAGGGAAAAUCAUUCGAAACUAAAGAGAUAACGCCUCGUACCAAGCCGUCGUGCGUGGUCGCCAUCGUCGCCCGAAGGUUGAAGAAAAAGAAGCAAGAAAAAGGAAUAAGUAAGACGGAAUUCGUGACGUAACCGAAGGAACGGAGAGGGGCCGUACACGCGUGUAUACACGGCGGCACGCGUAUAUGCACGCAGGUGGAGGGACAUCGCGCGAGGCGGAAUUUUAGCGCCACACGUCUCUCGUCGGUCGUUCUUCUUCUGCAUCGUCAGUGUGAAAGUGUAUAUCUUAAGUGUGUCGUCUCACGGUGCUCGGUUGUGCUACCCUUACAUCUCGAGCAAGGCCCGCGGAGGUAUCCCAGAACCCGCCCCCGCCCCCGCGCCCUCCCUCUCUCUCCGCUCUCAACGUCGCAGUGCCUCUCUUCUCUCCAUAUCGCUACGUUGCGCUUCUCUUUUACGUUCCCAGCGGUGACUAUCUACGCUGGAGAGUGUUCGAUCUCCUUAACCAUAAAAAUCGACCGACUCGAAGAUUAGACUAUGUUAUUUCGGAUAACGGAUUGAUCGCACCCGUCGCUUCAUUUACACGUCGGACAUGAAAAAUCUUGGUUCGCGUUGGACGGUCCCCGACAUAGCACGCACUGCCGCAGCGCGUUCGUCAUUUCUCGUCGCCAUUUCGUUGGAACGAGAUUCAGGUAGCAGCAGC